GGAGCUUUUGUGUACUCUUGUUUGUGUUGUAUUUUUGUCCUGAAAAUUGGCCGCAAAACAGGACUCUUUGCGCUGUCGAUGGCUUCGGUGCUCGGCGACCACUUCGACACCUUCUUGCGAAAGCAUCCGAAUGGAAAAAAGCUGCAACAAAGGUAAAUGUAUCAUUUAAAGAUCAAUUAUAACGUUACCUUUUACAAUAAAAACUUAAUUUUUUCAGCAAUUCGUAACGUCGGAUGAAUCGAAGACGAUCUACCCGACUCGUCCUCGUUCGGAAGAUUUUCUCAAGAAAUUUCUGCCGAUACGUCGAUCUACGAUAACGUCGAUACCGCGAUUCUACCACCGAUAUACCAACGUACCGAUGACGACGAAUACCGAUACAACGUAUACGUUGGUAUUCCUUAGGCUACCAGCGUCUGCUCGCAAAUUUACAUCUUUGCCAACGUAAAUAAAUAAAACGGAUCGAUGCCUGUUCUACGCUCUCACCGCUGAAAUGUAAUCGAAUCUGUGUAAAAUAAUGGUUGCCGCAGCUCGUGCCUAGAGAUUCGCCUGAAAAGUUCGCAGGAGAAUCGAGAAACGGAAGGAUGCAAUACGCACUCUCCCUGUUAUCGACCAUAUCAAGAGUAUAGCGAGAAUCAAGGGAGAACGAACGAUGGCGAGCAACACCGAGUCCAGCCGAGGGGUGAGUCGCGCUCCGUGUUUUACUUUCCCUGGACGAAUAAUACUGCAACCCCUUCGCACGACCUCGGCACACCGCAAACUAGUAUCUUUAAUAAUAUCGGAUAUAAGAGUAAAUUAACGUUCGUUAAAAUUACAUAGGUAAUCGAGUGUGGAGAAAAAUUUGAGAUAUAACGAUAGAUGCGAAUUAUAAUCGUAUUGGAAGAUUAUUCGUCUCGAGAACCACGCUAUUGGAAACGUGAUAGAGCAUUUCUUCUUUAGUGUUACAUGGACAGUAAGAAUCGUUCUAACGUGGAUAUAGUAAAGUGAUACGUUCAAGGAAUCAGGUCCCAUUGGAAGAGCGAUCGAGGAUCUCUAAUCGCGUUGGUUAAAAGUGGAAGAUAAAAAUUGUCGUAACGACAAGAAGGAGAUGAUUUAAAGAACUCGAGUAGACCGCAGACUGUUCCUUUAAAGACUAAUCGGUACAAUUUGAACCAAUUUUCAUGGAAAUUGGAUUUCUUGUCCAGUGUUAGUGAAAAAAAUAA
Long non-coding RNA from Bombus pascuorum, 1199 nucleotides. RefSeq lists it as uncharacterized. The record is from RefSeq and is a predicted model, not a curated record. The transcript has 2 exons. Lineage: Eukaryota; Metazoa; Arthropoda; Insecta; Hymenoptera; Apidae.